Molecule: long non-coding RNA, 1284 nt
Organism: Solanum dulcamara
Lineage: Eukaryota; Viridiplantae; Streptophyta; Magnoliopsida; Solanales; Solanaceae
Exons: 3
Source: RefSeq, a predicted model, not a curated record
AGGAAAAAACUAGGUACAUUCCAAUUUCGCUCUGUAAAUUAGUUAUUUAAGAUAUCCUACAGUGGUAUAACGGUGUUUAAUAACCUAAAAAUCCAUUUUGGAGCAGCAAGAACAAGCUGCAAUCAGUCCACAACUUUCAGCACGCUAAAGAGGUUUCUGAGGCGCAAUUUUGACUAGUUUUGGCCAAUUUCGGGUAAGGUUCAAAGGACGACGAGGCGAACGGGAUAAAGAGUAACCCGUAAGAGGUAUGUAAGGCCUAGUCUUUCUCUUCUUUUGGCAUGUCUUAGAGGCAAGUAAAAGGUGAUAUGAUCUCUGAAAUAAUUUCAUUUCUAAGUGUCUCUUAUUCACUUCUGGAUGAUGAACUACUUUCCUAGAACUUUCUAUAUGUUAAGGAAGUAAUGAAUGUACAGACUCCUAGUCUUAAAGACUAUAGGAUGAUAAGUGCUUCCGAUUUAAUAAGUGGCUAGUAUUACUUUAGUACAUGCCUAGGAUCCCUGAGAUUCUAAUUGAUGCAGCCCCGAAUGGCAACUAGAAGACACGUGAGGUGAUCACAUUACUAUUAUGAUCCUCAGACGCUAGCUUAUUCUUCUUAUACGGUCGAGUCUCCAAUAAUGAUUUAAACUGCAUAUAGUUGCUCACUACUCUACUCAUGUAUACGGUAACACAUCUUUCUCCAAGUCCCAGGCCGGCUACAGAUUCGUGCUUAAUCUCACUGCAUUGUUCACCGAGUCCCUCACUAAAGGGUCGGGUACGUAUGUAUAUAUAUGAUGAUGUGAUGUAAUAAGAUGGUGAUGGCGCCGGACCUAUGAUGGUCCUACAGGUAUGCUUCACUGGUUCCCUGAAAGGGCCGGCUAUAUUGUAUAAUUUCAGCAUGCAUGUUUAUGAUUCCCAGGAUUCAGGUACAAGUUCCUUAUAUGACAUUUUAUUCCCUGCUUCUCUGUUUCAGAUAUGUUUCCAGCUAUGUUAUGCUAUAUUAUGUUUUACAUACUUAAUACAUAUAUCGUACUGUCCCCCUUUUUUCGGGGGGGGGGGGGGAGGCUGCAUUCAUGCCUGCAGGUACAUAUACACAGUUUGGGGAUCCGCCAGCAUAGGAGUCCCACUCAGCGGUCCGGAAGUGCUCCAUUGUGCUGGAGCCUGAUUUUGGGGUCAGUGAUGUUUCUUAGGUGAAGAUGAAGAUGAUUCUCCAACAGCUUCUACUCUUCCUUCUUUAUGGUGAGAGUUGUGUCAUUACUUUAUUUAUACUCUGUAUCUUUAGAAGCUCUUAUACCUGUUUAGACUUGUAUU